CCUACGUGAGGCAGCAGUAGGGAAUAUUGCUCAAUGGGGGAAACCCUGAAGCAGCAACGCCGCGUGGAGGAUGAAGGUUUUCGGAUUGUAAACUUCUUUUGUUAGAGAAGAGAAGGACGGUACCUAAGGAAUAAGCACCGGCUAACUCCGUGCCAGCAGCCGCGGUAAUACGGAGGGUGCAAGCGUUACUCGGAAUAACUGGGCGUAAAGAGCGCGUAGGGGGGUUAGCAAGUCAGAUGUGAAAUCCUAUGGCUUACCCAUAGAACUGCAUUUGAAACUGUUAUUCUUGAGUAUGGGAGAGGUAGGUGGAAUUCUUGGUGUAGUGGUCCAAUCCUUAGAUAUCACG
This 346-nucleotide ribosomal RNA is filed under the name uncultured bacterium. Its description in RNAcentral is "partial 16S ribosomal RNA". It matches the Rfam family "Bacterial small subunit ribosomal RNA", at positions 338 to 701 of the family's 1533-position model. The record is from RNAcentral.